RNAcentral lists this ribosomal RNA (586 nucleotides) under uncultured Clostridium sp. Its description in RNAcentral is "bacterial SSU rRNA". It matches the Rfam family "Bacterial small subunit ribosomal RNA", at positions 111 to 716 of the family's 1533-position model. The record is from RNAcentral. Lineage: Bacteria; Bacillati; Bacillota; Clostridia; Eubacteriales; Clostridiaceae.
UAACGCGUGGGUAACCUGCCUCAUACACAUGGAUAACAUACCGAAAGGUAUGCUAAUACAAGAUGAUAUAAGAGAUUCGCAUGGAUUUCUUAUCAAAGCUCCGGCGGUAUGAGAUGGACCCGCGUCUGAUUAGCUAGUUGGUAAGGUAAUGGCUUACCAAGGCAACGAUCAGUAGCCGACCUGAGAGGGUGAUCGGCCACAUUGGAACUGAGACACGGUCCAAACUCCUACGGGAGGCAGCAGUGGGGAAUAUUGCACAAUGGGCGAAAGCCUGAUGCAGCAACGCCGCGUGAGCGAUGAAGGCCUUCGGGUCGUAAAGCUCUGUCCUCAAGGAAGAUAAUGACGGUACUUGAGGAGGAAGCCCCGGCUAACUACGUGCCAGCAGCCGCGGUAAUACGUAGGGGGCUAGCGUUAUCCGGAUUUACUGGGCGUAAAGGGUGCGUAGGUGGUCUCUUAAGUCAGGAGUGAAAGGCUACGGCUCAACCGUAGUAAGCUCUUGAAACUGGGAAACUUGAGUGCAGGAGAGGAAAGUGGAAUUCCUAGUGUAGCGGUGAAAUGCGUAGAUAUUAGGAGGAACACCAGUAGC